This 336-nucleotide long non-coding RNA is filed under the name Dermacentor andersoni. RNAcentral describes it as "uncharacterized LOC126526349". The record is from RNAcentral. Lineage: Eukaryota; Metazoa; Arthropoda; Arachnida; Ixodida; Ixodidae.
CUUCAGACAAUCCAAGGUGUCCCUCCAAAUAUACAAAAAAGUGCAUGAGUGAAGGUUUGAAAUUCAGCUGCUUCAUCCUAAAUGACUACAUAACUUACAGGAGAUGUGUUGACGUGCAAAAGGACUGUGUUUCGUUGUGGCAAUAUUAUUGUGGAGGUCAAGGUUAUUUUGUGAAAUGCAAAUCAAAAGGGACGUGGUUAUGUGGAUGCGAGUGCUGCCACCGACCAACAAUGACUGGCUUUUGCAAGUACAGUUAAGAUGCCGUUCGCACAUUUCGUCCAAACAAGACAGCCAGACUUCAGUACAGUUCGCAACAAUAUAUGUGAUCAUCACGCG